RNAcentral lists this ribosomal RNA (1144 nucleotides) under Orphella coronata. RNAcentral describes it as "eukaryotic LSU rRNA". It matches the Rfam family "Eukaryotic large subunit ribosomal RNA", at positions 1 to 978 of the family's 3401-position model. Lineage: Eukaryota; Fungi; Kickxellomycota; Orphellales; Orphellaceae. The record is from RNAcentral.
AUUUGAUCUCAAAUCAGGUAAGGCUACCCGCUGAAUUUAAGCAUAUUAAUAAGCGGAGGAAAAGAAAAUAACAAUGAUUCCCCUAGUAACGGCGAGUGAAGCGGGAAAAGCUCAAGGUUAAAAUCUCUACUCCCCCUUUUGUUUGGAGUAGCGACAUGUAAUCUAUGGAUUGUGGUUUGGUCUGUGGUUAUUAGUAUGAUCCAAGCUAGUUGAAUCUAGUACCAUUGAGGGUGAAAGUCCCGUUUAUGGUUAUACUAAUAGGCACUAUUGUACCCCACUUUUCGCGAGUCGGGUUGUUUGGGAAUGCAGCCCUAAAUGGGAGGUAAAUUUCUCCUAAAGCUAAAUAUUUGCAAGAGACCGAUAGCAUACAAGUACCGUAAGGGAAAGGUGAAAAGUACUCUGAAGAGAGAGUGAAAAGUACGUGAAACUGUUGGUAGGGAAACGUUUGCACAGCACACUUGACCAUUUAUAGUUUCGGCUAUAUUUGUCAGCCUUGCACCAAUUUUUCUUGCUGGAAAAAACCCAGAAGAAGGUAGGGAGUCAAUAGUAGCAUUUAUGUUGCUGAUUUCUGUUAUAGCUUCUGGGCAAUACAGUGGGUAAAGAUUGAGGAUUGCCAAGUAUGUUUUACAUUUUGUAGAGCAAUGUCCCUCCUUGCCCCCCAUGACUAGACCUUUGAUUAGACAUUUCUAUGACUAUCGAAGGGAUAACACUAGCCUGGACUCAGGGUGAGGGUAGUAGGAACAAGUACUUGAUGGAUGCAGGGAAGUGUUGAACAAUCGACCCGUCUUGAAACACGGACCAAGGAGUCUAACACUAGUGCGAGUUGUUGGGAUAUAAUAAACCCAUGGGCGUAAUGAAAGUGAGGAGUGUUUUAUACCACUUGCUGGUACCAAUUUGUAGGGAUUUCCCUAUAGAUGCAGUACCCUCCGAUCAGGAAGAGUUUACUUUGACUGAAUUGAGAGUGAGCACUUGUGUUAGGACCCGAAAGAUGGUGAACUAUACUUGAAUAGGGUGAAGCCAGGGGAAACCCUGGUGGAGGCUCGUAGCGAUUCUGACGUGCAAAUCGAUCGUAAAAUUUGAGUAUAGGGGCGAAAGACUAAUCGAACUAUCUAGUAGCUGGUUCCUGCCGAAGUUUCCCUCAGGA